Molecule: ribosomal RNA, 40 nt
Filed under: Neoapaloxylon madagascariense
Lineage: Eukaryota; Viridiplantae; Streptophyta; Magnoliopsida; Fabales; Fabaceae
Description: partial 18S ribosomal RNA
Source: RNAcentral
AAGGUUUCCGUAGGUGAACUGCGGAAGGAUCAUUGUCGAU